RNAcentral lists this ribosomal RNA (430 nucleotides) under Brucella melitensis. Its description in RNAcentral is "partial 16S ribosomal RNA". It matches the Rfam family "Bacterial small subunit ribosomal RNA", at positions 355 to 776 of the family's 1533-position model. The record is from RNAcentral. Lineage: Bacteria; Pseudomonadati; Pseudomonadota; Alphaproteobacteria; Hyphomicrobiales; Brucellaceae. RNAcentral also lists the same sequence under 5 other names.
UGGGGAAUAUUGGACAAUGGGCGAAAGCCUGAUCCAGCCAUGCCGCGUGUGUGAAGAAGGCCUUUUGGUUGUAAAGCACUUUAAGCGAGGAGGAGGCUACUUGGAUUAAUACUCUAGGAUAGUGGACGUUACUCGCAGAAUAAGCACCGGCUAACUCUGUGCCAGCAGCCGCGGUAAUACAGAGGGUGCGAGCGUUAAUCGGAUUUACUGGGCGUAAAGCGUGCGUAGGCGGCUUCUUAAGUCGGAUGUGAAAUCCCUGAGCUUAACUUAGGAAUUGCAUUCGAUACUGGGAAGCUAGAGUAUGGGAGAGGAUGGUAGAAUUCCAGGUGUAGCGGUGAAAUGCGUAGAGAUCUGGAGGAAUACCGAUGGCGAAGGCAGCCAUCUGGCCUAAUACUGACGCUGAGGUACGAAAGCAUGGGGAGCAAACAGG